GAUGAACGCUAGCGGCAGGCCUAACACAUGCAAGUCGAGGGGCAGCACGUCUUCGGAUGGUGGCGACCGGCGCACGGGUGCGUAACGCGUAUGCAACCUACCUCUUACAGUGGGAUAGCCCAGAGAAAUUUGGAUUAAUACCGCAUAGUAUACAGAUUCAGCAUUGGGACUGUAUUAAACAUUUAUGGGUAAGAGAUGGGCAUGCGUUCUAUUAGUUAGUUGGAGUGGUAACGGCACCCCAAGACAGCGAUAGAUAGGGGCCCUGAGAGGGGGAUCCCCCACACUGGUACUGAGACACGGACCAGACUCCUACGGGAGGCAGCAGUGAGGAAUA
Molecule: ribosomal RNA, 334 nt
Filed under: uncultured bacterium
Lineage: Bacteria
Description: bacterial SSU rRNA
Rfam family: Bacterial small subunit ribosomal RNA
Source: RNAcentral